Molecule: RNA transcript, 1799 nt
Organism: Oryza brachyantha (malo sina)
Lineage: Eukaryota; Viridiplantae; Streptophyta; Magnoliopsida; Poales; Poaceae
Gene name: 3-hydroxyisobutyryl-CoA hydrolase-like protein 1, mitochondrial
Exons: 15
Source: RefSeq, a predicted model, not a curated record
AUGCCGAGCCUCGCCGCCGCCGCCGCCGCCACCGCCCGCCGCGCCGGCGGGGCGCUGCGCCACGGCGUGCUGAUGGGCGGGCUUCGUUCGCUCUCCUCCCUCCAGCCUUCAUCCUCUACCGCCGCCGCGGCCGCCGCCAACGAGGAGGUUCUCGUCGAAGGCAAGGCCAGCGCGCGCGCCGCCGUGCUCAACCGCCCCGGCCACCUCAACGCGCUCACAACCACAAUGGGUGGUAAACUCAAUAAGUUCUAUGCGUCAUGGGAGGACAACCCUGAUAUUGGCUUUGUUAUGAUGAAGGGCAGCGGCCGAGCAUUCUGUGCUGGUGGGGAUGUUGUUAAGAUGCACCAGCUUAUUGGUGAAGGCAAGUUGGAUGAGUGUAAGGAUUUUUUCAAGACCCUGUACAGUUUUAUUUAUGUUCUAGGCACCUACUUGAAGCCACAUGUUGCCAUUCUUGAUGGUGUUACCAUGGGUGGUGGUGCAGGUGUUUCCAUUCCUGGAACAUUUCGCGUUGCCACUGAUAGAACGGUAUUUGCAACUCCAGAAGUACACAUAGGAUUCCAUCCUGAUGCUGCUGCCUCCUUUUAUUUGUCCCAUCUGACUGGUCAUGUUGGUGAAUAUUUGGCCUUGACUGGUGACAAACUUAAGGGAGUUGAUAUGAUUGCACUUGGCCUAGCUACUCACUAUUCCAUGAGUGGUCAUUUGCAUCUGGUUGAUGAACGCCUUGCAACAUUGUUAACUGAUGAUCCAUCAGUUAUUGAUACAUCCCUUGCACAUUAUGGAGAUCUUGUGUACCCAGAUAAGGAUAGCAUUGUUCAUAGGCUGGAGGUUAUAGACAAAUGUUUCAGCCUUGAGACAGUGGAGGAGAUUGUGGAUGCCAUGGAAAGUGAAGCAGCUAGGUUAAAUGAAGAUUGGUGUACCUUGGCCCUGAAACGGUUGAAAGAGGCUUCUCCUCUUGCAUUGAAAGUUUCACUGCGAUCGAUACGUGAAGGUAGAUACCAAACACUUGAUGAAUGCCUUGUGCGUGAAUACCGCAUGUCCAUGAAUGGAAUCUCAGAGAAAUUUUCUCAUGAAUUCCGUGAGGGUGUCAGAGCACGUCUUGUGGAUAAGGACCUGGCUCCAAAGUGGGAUCCACCUGCCCUUGAGUAUGUAUCAGCGGACAUGGUUGAUUCUUACUUCGCUCCCUUGGGUGAAUUUGAACCCGAGUUGACACUGCCUACUGAAUCGCGAGAGGCAUUCGUAUGAUGAUAAUUCCAAGCAGCGGCUGUUGUUUGAAGCCUGAUAGAUUUUUGAACCCACUGUCCAUUGUUGGCAACACAAAAUAACUAUAGGAUUAGCAAUCUUUUCCUGUGACAUAUACUCCUUGUCUAUCGAAGGAACUGAUAUCCAAGGACACACCAACUUAAUCAUCCUUGGUGUUUGGGCCCUAAGUGGGCCGGAAUGGGACUGCGACAUACGUUGGGUGGCAGGUUGAGUUGGACCGGAACGGAGUUGCAGGCCGUACGUGGGAAGAAGUUGGACUGUUCCGGGGACACAGGAAAGGAAGCUGCCGUGUGUUUAGGCUAGAAAACGGGCCUUGUUUAUACCUACGCUAAUCCACCGGAUUCUACUUUGCUGAUCCUUGCUUGGCAACGCAUCAUCUCAUAUGUCAUAAGUUCAUAACCGAACUGAUGGUGUAUUAGGACUCUUUGUUAGAGAACUAGACAUAUAUAAACUGGUCCAGCCUUUGAACCUUUGAUGGUGGAUCGGGGAUACUCCCUUUGUUUCAUAAUGUAAAACUUUCUAGCCUUACGUAGAGUCAU